Orbicella faveolata is the source of this 2085-nucleotide long non-coding RNA. The record is from RefSeq and is a predicted model, not a curated record. Lineage: Eukaryota; Metazoa; Cnidaria; Anthozoa; Scleractinia; Merulinidae.
CCGUAAUUGGCCCGUGGGCAUUACGGCUACUUAUUAUAUGGCUAGCUCCGUAAGCCGGCAAGAUAACUCAACACCUGCGCUGUGAUUGGCUACCCGAGCGGGCAAGAUGGAGCUAUCUUGCCCGCUCGGGACUACCCGCCGUGUCCCGCAAGAAAAAUUUACCCGAAAGCCAUAUAAUAAACAUAAAUAUUUAACUGGUAAUAUUUAAUAACUCAGAGGUCGCGCAACAUCCGUAAAACAGACAGCGUGGCAAAAGAUUUCGACUGCAACAACGUGUUAACAAUAAAUAAUAAAAGUAUUACGUAGCAUAUGACUGUAAUAUCUGAAAUAUUUUUGUUGCAGUUUUGCCUCACAGACCAUUGAUCACAAAACAACUAAAACAACAGUUAAAAUACUGAUGAGAAGUAUGCAGAAUCUUGCAUCAUGUUAUACAUAGGAAAAAUCUCUUUGGAAAAAAAAUAUGACAUUAACCACAUACUUCUGGUAAACACAGUAGCGUCACAAUUUGUUUGUGUUUGUGUUUUUAGACAUAACUCAUGCCAGAUUCACCCCAAACACAGGAGGAAAUCAAGUCCAUUCAUUCUCAGAAGCCUUUAACAAACUACAUAACGCAGAAGAGCAGGAACUCGCCAGUUAUACUAAUGACGGUAGAGUUCCUCAAACGCUGGGAGAGGCACUAAAUGUUGAAAAGGCAGAAGCAAAUUAUGAAAAUACAUUUGAAAAUUUAUAUGGUAAAGAAAAUUCCAUUGGGAUACAAAAAGGAGCAGCAUUCUUACCAGAAAAACAACUUUGAACUUAAUUAUGUCGUGAAACUAUUAUUAGUUGUUUACCACAUCAUAAUAACAAAACCACAUUUUCCCCUCAUAACAGUAAAAACAACAGUUUAUAUCCCCAAUGCGAAAUAUAACAUUUUCAUCUGCAUUUACGGCGGCUGACAACGCUUUCCAGCAUUUUUUGGCACUUCAACUUUGAUAUAGCAGUAAUACCAUUCUUGCACAGUUGAUGGUUCAGUAAAGGCAUCGACUGAAAAAGAGUUAAAGCACCUUGGAAUCCCAUUAAUCCCGUCACCAACGGGCCAUAAAAAUCUGGCAGUACUAAAGGAGUUCUUUAAAUAAGAAAAUGACUGACGACUUUUGUUCGGGCAAGGAAAAAGUGGCCGUAAAAUAGCCGUAUUAACGGGGUGGUCGUAAGUCGGGGUUCCACUGCACUGAUUAGUCAAGGAGGAAGUAACAAAAAAUGCUGGAAACUGGAAAGUGAAAGCAUAUUUCAACCCCUCUAUUUCGAGCAGUCGCGGGAAAAUGAUAGUUCAAAAAAACGGAUCCAAAUUAACUAUGAAAGUAAUAAACUGAUAUUAAUAAAAAUGCGAGGAACAGGAUAGAAUGAUUUAUUCAUUAUCUGCAGAAUUUAUUUGAAGUAAUGUGGACAGUUAGGGAAUGUUUUUCUGUUGACUUAGAAUCAACAGAGAACACUUGUGGACGAAGUUGACCGCGUUGCCACCAAACGUUGAAUUGUUCCAGUAGUGUUAGCACGGUGUUCGAUGAAACAGAAUUAAAAAAAAAGCUGGAAUAAAUUACUGAAAAUAUAAGGGCAAUGGGUCAGAGUACAAAUACGUUGGUCCAACUAUAUUUCUUCCAUGAAAAACAGUUAUCAAGAAGAGAAAAUGUUCCCUUAAAUUAACGCAAAAAUUAUCUUAUAUUUACGGACACUUCCAUAAAAAGAUAUAUCUUGUACGAAUGUAUGUAGAAUGUCAAAGUGAGCAAUAAACAGCUGUUGUAAACCUCUGUCACUACUGUGUCAUAAAUACUUCAUAUCCUUUGGCCCAUAUAAACUUUGACUCCUUCAGGUGGAUUUACUUGGAAAGUUAACCGAUAUUUCCAAGCAGGAAAGACGUUUGCUAGUUGAAGACGGAAUGAUGAUUAUUUACCCGCAAAUCCAGCAAAUUUCUUUAUGAUGAGAAGGUUUUUUAGUAGUCGUAGUAAGCGGAUUCAUCUACAUGUAGGAUCGUUCUAUUUGGAUUAACUUAACCAACCAUCACAAUGUCGUCAUCUCCGCAAGGUAGAGCUUUUCUUUAAGCCCAGAGAAAAA